Molecule: ribosomal RNA, 468 nt
Filed under: uncultured bacterium
Lineage: Bacteria
Description: partial 16S ribosomal RNA
Rfam family: Bacterial small subunit ribosomal RNA
Source: RNAcentral
GACGAACGCUGGCGGCGUGCUUAACACAUGCAAGUCGAACGGACAGGCCCUGCUUUUGUGGGGUGCUCGAGUGGCGAACGGGUGAGUAACACGUGAGUAACCUGCCCUUGUAUUUGGGAUAACUUCUGGAAAAUGGGGCUAAUACCGGAUAGGAGCUCCUGCUGCAUGGGGGGGGUUGGAAAGAUUCGGCGGUUGGGGAUGGACUCGCGGGUUAUCAGCUUGUUGGUGGGGUAGUGGCUUACCAAGGUUUUGAAGGGUAGCCGGCCUGGGAGCGUGGCCGGCCACAUUGGGACUGAGAGACGGCCCAGACGGCUACGGGAGGCAGCAGUGGGGAAUAUGGCACAGUGGGCGGAAGCCUGAUGCAGCAACGCCGCGUGCGGGAUGACGGCCUUCGGGUUGUAAACCGCUUUCGCCUGUGACGAAGCGUGCGUGACGGUAAUGGGUAAAGAAGCACCGGCUAACUACGUG